UCUAGAAACUGUUUUUUAGGC
This 21-nucleotide non-coding RNA is filed under the name Caenorhabditis elegans. The record is from RNAcentral. Lineage: Eukaryota; Metazoa; Nematoda; Chromadorea; Rhabditida; Rhabditidae.